CCUACGGGAGGCUGCAGUGGGGAAUAUUGGACAAUGGGCGAAAGCCUGAUCCAGCCAUGCCGCGUGUGUGAAGAAGGCCUUCGGGUUGUAAAGCACUUUCAGUGGGGAAGAAAGCCUUGGGGCUAAUACCCUCGAGGAAGGACAUCACCCACAGAAGAAGCACCGGCUAACUCCGUGCCAGCAGCCGCGGUAAUACGGAGGGUGCGAGCGUUAAUCGGAUUUACUGGGCGUAAAGCGCGCGUAGGCGGUCUGAUAAGCCGGUUGUGAAAGCCCCGGGCUCAACCUGGGAACGGCAUCCGGAACUGUCAGGCUAGAGUGCAGGAGAGGAAGGUAGAAUUCCCGGUGUAGCGGUGAAAUGCGUAGAGAUCGGGAGGAAUACCAGUGGCGAAGGCGGCCUUCUGGACUGACACUGACGCUGAGGUGCGAAAGCGUGGGUAGCAAACAGGAUUAGAUACCCCUGUAGUC
This 465-nucleotide ribosomal RNA is filed under the name Vreelandella stevensii. Its description in RNAcentral is "partial 16S ribosomal RNA". It matches the Rfam family "Bacterial small subunit ribosomal RNA", at positions 338 to 795 of the family's 1533-position model. Lineage: Bacteria; Pseudomonadati; Pseudomonadota; Gammaproteobacteria; Oceanospirillales; Halomonadaceae. The record is from RNAcentral.